RNAcentral lists this ribosomal RNA (431 nucleotides) under uncultured Alphaproteobacteria bacterium. RNAcentral's name for it is "bacterial SSU rRNA". It matches the Rfam family "Bacterial small subunit ribosomal RNA", at positions 29 to 507 of the family's 1533-position model. Lineage: Bacteria; Pseudomonadati; Pseudomonadota; Alphaproteobacteria. The record is from RNAcentral.
AACGAACGCUGGCGGCAGGCCUAACACAUGCAAGUCGAGCGCACCUUCGGGUGAGCGGCGGACGGGUUAGUAACGCGUGGGAAUAUGCCCUUCUCUACGGAAUAGCCUCGGGAAACUGAGAGUAAUACCGUAUACGCCCUUCGGGGGAAAGAUUUAUCGGUGAAGGAUUAGCCCGCGUUGGAUUAGGUAGUUGGUGGGGUAAUGGCCUACCAAGCCUACGAUCCAUAGCUGGUUUGAGAGGAUGAUCAGCAACACUGGGACUGAGACACGGCCCAGACUCCUACGGGAGGCAGCAGUGGGGAAUCUUAGACAAUGGGGGAAACCCUGAUCUAGCCAUGCCGCGUGAGUGACGAAGGCCCUAGGGUCGUAAAGCUCUUUCGCCAGGGAAGAUAAUGACGGUACCUGGUAAAGAAGUCCCGGCUAACUCCGUG